Long non-coding RNA from Mercenaria mercenaria, 930 nucleotides. RefSeq lists it as uncharacterized. The record is from RefSeq and is a predicted model, not a curated record. The transcript has 3 exons. Lineage: Eukaryota; Metazoa; Mollusca; Bivalvia; Venerida; Veneridae.
GGAGAACUAAUUAUACAGUUUACGUCCGUCAGUAAAUGAACAGAUACGAUUGUUCAAAUCAAGUUGAUCAAACUACUUCAAGAAUGGAUACGAAAUUCAUACAAGUGUUGAUGCUGUUUGUAUGUGUGGUUCUUGGUGCUGAAGCUCAAAGGCUUUGCUCUUACUGGGACAGAAUGCGGUGUUACCCAAGACAAUGCCAUAUAGUGAGACGCGGAAGGGGUCUGGUAAGAGCGGACUGCCUCAGUAAGUUAUAUACGCUUAACAUAGUGUCUAACGCAGCACUUGAUAAUUUGAUGUCUUUUUUGUUUCCACUUGUUCUAUUUUAAAAUUAUCAUCUACAUUAUCAAAAUUUGACGGACGGUUUUGAAAAAUAUGUUCCAGUUUCAGUAAAAUCAUUGCAUGCAAUCAUAUGUUUUAUUAUCUUCACGACUAAAUAGUCACAGGUCGUGAUUUACAAAGCAAGCAAGAUACAUUUCGGCGCAGGCAAAUCAUAACAAAAAAUAAUGCCUUAUGUUAGACAUAAAUUUAUGUUUGGUUUGAUAAUUGCCUGUUAAUCAGUUUAUCACAUGUUUUGACGUCGUUGGAGUGAAAUAAAACCAUUAGAUUAUUUUGGUAUAACAUUAGUGUAAUAAAGAUUCGACGUUGACGUCUUGUUAAGUGCAAGAGACGUUGCUCGAAUUGACUUCAUCUAUAAUAGGUAAAGAAAGAAGAAAUUUCGAUGUAUCAGUAUAAAAGACAACAUGUGAUAAAAAGAAUAUUACAAUUGUAUCUUUCCAUAUUGAAUAUAUCAAAAAUAAACGAGUUAAAUUAGAUUUAUUUAAUUUAAUAAAACGCACGACAGACCCUCGCAUUUCAUUAUUUUAUUAAACUCGUUUAAUAAAUUCAGUAUUAAAGACACUUAUGUUAUACCCUCCUUGAAAAGAACAAAAU